Molecule: long non-coding RNA, 3868 nt
Filed under: Gallus gallus (chicken)
Lineage: Eukaryota; Metazoa; Chordata; Aves; Galliformes; Phasianidae
Source: RNAcentral
CGCGAUAAACACCCCCGGCCCCUCGCUGGCCCCGCGCCCGCCGCCCGCCGCGGGGAACAGCCGCGCUGCCCUCGGAGCCGCGCACUGCGGUGCGGGGCCGGGGGGGGCGGCGGCGGCGGCGGCUCCGUGGGGCCGUGCCGCGGGGCUGCGCUGCCGGGAGCGCGGCUCCCGCUCCGACCUGAACCCGCCGCUCCUCUGUUUGUUUAUUUCCCGGCCGCGGUGGCCGGCUGCCAAGCACGCGGACCUUUCCUAUUAAAAACCCAUUUCUCUUGCCCUGCGCGGAGCAGCUCUUCGCUCGCCGCGCUCCGUUGUGCCGUUAACGCAGCGCCGCGCGGCGCGACCGGGACCGAGGGGGUGGGAGGGGGGGCACCGCAGCCCGGGGAGGCGAUGCCCGGCCCCGGGGCCCCUCGCCCUUAUCGGACGCCGCUCCCGCAGCACGGGGUCGGCGCUGCCCCUCCGGCCGGGGCUCCCCGCGGGGCGGCUCCCGGCCCUUCUCCUCCCCGGGGGUGUCCGCCGGUCGGCCGAGGCGAGAGGAUCCAACAAUAAAGUAGAUUGAAAUAAGUCUGCGGUUGAGCGGCAACGUGAGGCCCGGAGGAAGCACGCUGCUGCCGUGCGAAAUGCGGACCAUGUGUGGGAGCGAUGUGCCCGGCGGCACACGGCGGCGAAGGACGGGGCAGGGCAGGGCCGGGCCCCUCUGCUGUGUGCCGCCGUCCCGGGGUCGUACGGCACAGCCGGCGCGAUACCGACUUAUGGCCGUGCGCCGUUCCCGUGAUGGUCGGGAUCCUUUCGGUCUGAGGCUUUCGCGACGUGCUUUGUGUUCGCCCACCUCGAGGCUCUGCGGGCAAAGGGUUAAAUCUUCGGAGGGCUGGAAGGAAGCAGCCGAGUUUCAGCAAAGAAGAAAAAAAAAAAGGAAAAUAAAGAAAGGUGGAGGAGAAGAAAGGAGUGGGAGCGGGGAGAGGCGAGGGCCGCACGAUGCCCUGAUCAUCCCUCUGGCUGCCGGAGAAUAAUAAUUAAUCCCAAUCGUAACCCGCGGCCUUUCUCUCCUAUUGGGCUCCGCCAGGAAGCGCCUCCGGCCCUGGGGCUCUCCGUUCCCUCUCCGCCCCCCCCUCCCCGUCCUUUCCUCGGGCAGAGAGAGGAGAAAGGGCCGCGCUGCCCACCGCCGCCCGCGCUCCUCCGAUCGCCGCGCACAGCUGUGGCAGCGCGGUGCCUCUUCCAGCGCUCGCUCCUCUCUCCCGGCUCCGGCUCGGCACCCUCCUCCUCCUCCCCCUUUGUUCUCCCCCCCCCCCCCCUCCGCCUUUCCCUCUCUUUAAAUAGAUUUCAAGGCGCUGCCUGCUGGAGAGCGGCUCUCCGGAGAGCGCAGCUAUCGCUUCCCCGCCGCUAACCUCCCCCUUUCCUCCGCUCUCCGAGCACAACGCGAUCCCGUGGCCGAGCAACCUGCGCUGGGAAAGAUAGAGAAAAGCACAACCGGCCCCCCCCGGGUCGUGCGCGACCGCGUGCAAAGGGAGGGCUCGGGUUGACCCUCCCGAACGCAGAGGGCCGAGGGCAGCGGGGAGCCCUCCUCGGGCCGCGCCCCCCCGCACCGCCCCGCACCCGGAGCGCUCUCGGGGCGGAGGGAGGCCGAAGACAGAAUAGGGCGGGUGGAAGCGAAGUGCCGCCCGGAGAGCUGUUGUGACAGAUGCUCGGCUUCGCCGGUGAGAGAAGGAGUUAAAAGCGAGCGAGCUGCUUGUCGAUCGAGCCGCUUCCCCGAGCGGCGGCGGAGCGGCUGGCUGGAAAGCCGUCCAUCAGCAACCAGUCCGACCUGCCCGUGAUAAUAUGCGAUCAACACCAAAUCACCCCCGCCAGGCACGAUCCAUCAUCGCCGCGAUGCGAUGGGCCCUUUUAUGGCUGUGUCUACGCGGGGGGCGGGCGGGAGGGAAGGGGGAGGGAGCGGAGAAGAGAGAGCGGGAGCGCGUGAGUGGGGAGGGGGGCAUCCGCCGCAAUGGGAACCGCAGCCCCCCCCCUCCCCCCGGGCUCCUGGAGCCGCGGAGCCGAAAGUUGCCGGGCCGGGGCUGCGCCUGGCAGCGGGCCCCGCCGCCUCCGCCUGCCAUCAGCCUCCCCUCCCCCCGCCGGCUCCUCCGGGGCGAGCUUGACUGGCGUUAAAUUAAUAAUUAAUCGGGUGAAAUUGAUUAAAGGGCUCUGCGCGCGAUGGGGCGCGGGGAGAGCCCUUCCCCUCCUCUCCGGCAGCGGGAAGCCGCCGGCCCUGGGAGCUCCGGGGGCGCCCGGCCCGAGCAGGAAGGAAAAGGGCGGCGGGGAGCGGAGCGGGGCGGGGGAGGAAGGCGGCGGCGGCGGCUGCAGCAGCAGCAGCAGCAGCAGCAGCAGCCCAGCUGGUGGCUGACUGCAAGCGAGAGCGGCGGCGGCGGCAGCAGGCGAGGGCUGGCCCCAGGCUGGCUCGGCUCCGCGCAGCUGGGAGUGCGUGUGCGUGUACAAAGCCGGAGCCCGGGAGCUGCCCGAGGGCGGUGCUCGGCACCACAACGCCAACCUCCCCCUCCCUUCCCUGCCCUCCCCCCCCCCCCUCCCGCCGAGAUCAGUCUCUGCCACGGAAGGAGUGGGGAACCGCAGGGGACGCGGCCGGGCCGGCGCACGCUUCAGCUGCAGCCCCGCCGAGGCCGCCCAUUGGGAAGAUCCGUGCUGGCUCUCAGGGGAUUCAAAUCGGCCCUUAAUGCGGGGUAGCUCCUAACGUGGGCGCAGCUGAGCAGGGCACGGCGAUGGAGCAGCUUACGCUUAAUGCUGCUGCAGACCUCAGCCUUAAGGAACAGGUAGGCACGGCUUAGCUCAGCAUCGUUUCAAAUGCCAGGUUCAAAACAUGUUCAACUCCACCGAGUCGUGGGCAGCGGGGCUCUCCUUUGUCAGAGAUUCGUACUGAAGACAAACAUUGGUGGCAAUUGUGUCUAAAAAUACCUCCGAACCUGCUUCUUGGGGGCGAGCGCAGACGCCAGGCGCCUGACCAUGGCCGUAAAUUGCUGUCGGUGACACAGCUCGGGCGUAUUUAGGGGACCCAGCUUUGCCCUUUCCUUGACAGGACAGCGGCUCGCCCUGGGGUUCGUCUGCUCGUGUCACUGUCAUCUGUCAUGACACACUCGCGCGGGACCCAGCUGCUUACGCUGGGAAAGAAGAAAUGUGAAAAUAAUUGGUUGAUGCUUAUGUGGCUCCUUAGGCUACACCUGCACAGCCCUUUUCGGGGCUCUCUAUUUGAAGAAUCAUUAACCUUACAUAUACAUACUGCCCUGUAUCUUAGAUAAUGUGCCCUUCUGCCGUUAACCUUUACAUAAUGCAAGUGGGAAAAAAAGCCUCAUCACUACUGAGCGCGUCCGAGUGCAGCCUGGCUGCAGUUUAACGAUGAUACUGAAAGCGUCGUCAUGUUUUGGUAUACUCCUUUCUGAGCCUGCUGGAAACCUUGGAGAAGUGACAAACGGGACUCAGAAGCGUGCAAGAAAAGUUACUUCUGGGCAAAACAUCAUCCAUCAGGAUACCACUUACAGUGUAUUUUGGUAGAAGUCCCCAAAUUACAGUUCUUCAAAAUUAAAAUAAAGAUCACGCAUAAUAUGGGCAGCUUGUUUCUGGAUUUCACAGAGCUCCCAUCUUUUGCUGCAAGCUGCUUCUAAUGUUGCAAUGAAAUCCAUAUUCUGCUGCUUCUACUUCUGUUUUGCACCAGGUUUCUUGUUUUUAAACAUAUUGUGUUCGAUGGGGAGUGUGACUUGACUGUCAAAUGGCAAUGCUGUAUAUGCAGCCUUUACAACUGCCAGCCUGAAUGAUUCCAUGGGUGAAAUCACAUUGGUCAGGUGGUGUUGGCAUGGUUCAUGCAGUGGGUGCAUAUUGCAUGGGGGCAGGC